CUGUCACCACCACCGCAGUGUCACCAUCACCACUGUCCCCCCGUCACCAUCACCACUGUCACCACCACCGCAGUGUCACCGUCCCCACUGUGUCACCGUCACCGCCACCCCCAUUGUGUCACCGUCACCACUGUCCCCCUGUCACCGUCACCACAGCGUCACUGUCACCACCGCUGUGUCACCAUCCCCCGUGUCACCGUCACCACCGUGUCACUGUCACCACCACCGUGUGGCCACCCCCAUUGUGUCACUGUCACCGCUGUCCCCCCGUCCCCACCGCAUUGUCACUGUCACCACCCCCAGCCAGUGUCACCGCCACCAGUGUCACCAUCACCACUGUCACAGUGUCACUGUCACCACCCCCACUGUGUCACCGUGAACCACCACAGCGUCCCUGUCACCACCGUCCCCCUGGCCCCACCACCACCGUGUCACUGUCACCGCAGUGUCACUGUCACCGCAACCACUGCGUCACCGUCCCCACUGUGUCACCGUCACCACCCCCGUGCCACUGUCCCCAUUGCCUCCCAGUCCCCACCACCGCCGUGUCACCGCCACCACCGCCGUGUCACCGCCACCACCGCCGUGUCACCGUCCCCACUGUCCCCACCACUGUUGUGUCACCGUCACCGCUGUCCCCCUGUCACCAUCACCACAGCGUCACUGUCACCACCGCUGUGUCACCGUCCCCCCUGUGUCACCAUCACCGCCACCGUGUGACCACUCCCGUUGUGUCACCGUCACUACUGUCCCCCUGUCCCCACCACCACCGUGUCACUGUCACCACCGCUGUGACCACCCCCAUUGUGUCACUGUCACCGCUGUCCCCCUGUCACCAUCACCACAGCGUCACUGUCACCACCGCUGUGUCACCAUCCCCCCUGUGUCACCAUCACCGCCACCACCGUGUGGCCACCCCCAUCGUGUCACUGUCACCGCUGUCCCCCUGUCACCAUCACCACAGCGUCACCGUCACCACCGCUGUGUCACCAUCCCCCCUGUGUCACCAUCACCGCCACCACCGUGUGGCCACCCCCAUUGCGUCACUGUCACCGCUGUCCCAGUCACCAUCACCACAGCGUCACUGUCACCACCGCUGUGUCACCAUCCCCACUGUGUCACCGUCACCGCCACCGCCGUGUCACUGUCCCCACUGUCCCCCUGUCCCCCCCGCCACACAGUCACCGCCACCACCCCCACCGCUGUCCUCAUUGUCCCCAUCCUCGCUGUGUCACCGUCACCGCGUCACCACCCCCGCAGCGUCACUGUCCCCAUCACCAUCACCACCACGGCGUCACCGUCACCGUGUCACCAUCACCACCACGGCGUCACUGUCCCCAGUGUGUCACCGUCCCCACCGUCUCACUGUCACCAUCACCACCACGAUGUCACUGUCCCCAUUGUGUCACGGUCUGCACCACCGCAGCGUCACCGUCACCAUCACCACCACUGUGUCACCAUCACCGUGUCACCAUCACCAGCGCAGUGUCACUGUCCCCCGUGUGUCACGGUCCCCACCAUCUCGGGGUCACCAUCACCACCGCAGUGUCGCCGUCACCAUCCCCAUGUCACUGUCAGCACCACAGUGUCACUGUCCCCAGUGUGUCACCGUCACCACCACCACUGUGUCACCAUCACCAACACAGUGUCACUGUCACCGUCCCCAUGUCACCUCAGCGUCACCAUCACCACCGUGUCACCAUCACCACCACUGUGUCACCAUCACCACCGCAGUGUCACCGUCACUGUCCCCAGUGUGUCACCGUCCCCACCACCUCCGUGUCACCAUCACCACCACAGCGUCACCGUCACCAUCACCACCACUGUGUCACCAUCACCGUGUCACCAUCACCACCGCAGUGUCACUGUCCCCAGUGUGUCACCGUCACCACCACCUCAGCGUCACCGUCCCCAUGUCACUGUCAGCACCACAGUGUCACUAUCCCCAGUGUGUCACUGUCACCACCUCAGCGUCACCAUCUCCACCUCAGCGUCACCAUCACCAUCACCACCGCAGCGUCACCGUCACCAUCCCCUGUCACCGUCACCAUCACCACUGUGUCACCAUCCCCACCACCUUUA
Numida meleagris (helmeted guineafowl) is the source of this 2082-nucleotide long non-coding RNA. The record is from Ensembl. NCBI's taxonomy places the organism in Eukaryota, Metazoa, Chordata, Aves, Galliformes, Numididae.